GAUGAACGCUGGCGGCGUGCCUAAUACAUGCAAGUCGAGCGAACGGACGAGAAGCUUGCUUCUCUGAUGUUAGCGGCGGACGGGGGAGUAACACGUGGAUAACCUACCUAUAAGACUGGGAUAACUUCGGGAAACCGGAGCUAAUACCGGAUAAUAUUUUGAACCGCAUGGUUCAAAAGUGAAAGACGGUCUUGCUGUCACUUAUAGAUGGAUCCGCGCUGCAUUAGCUAGUUGGUAAGGUAACGGCUUACCAAGGCAACGAUGCAUAGCCGACCUGAGAGGGUGAUCGGCCACACUGGAACUGAGACACGGUCCAGACUCCUACGGGAGGCAGCAGUAGGGAAUCUUCCGCAAUGGGCGAAAGCCUGACGGAGCAACGCCGCGUGAGUGAUGAAGGUCUUCGGAUCGUAAAACUCUGUUAUUAGGGAGGAACAUAUGUGUAAGUAACUGUGCACAUCUUGACGGUACCUAAUCAGAAAGCCACGGCUAACUACGUG
RNAcentral lists this ribosomal RNA (497 nucleotides) under uncultured bacterium. RNAcentral describes it as "partial 16S ribosomal RNA". It matches the Rfam family "Bacterial small subunit ribosomal RNA", at positions 28 to 507 of the family's 1533-position model. The record is from RNAcentral.